UUUUAGUUAGUGCCUAAUGACAUCCCUCUUUACUUGAGUAUUUGUGGCGCCAUUUAUUAAGAAGGUGGUUGGUUAAUAAUAAGCUACAGAGGUGCAGAACAUGGUGCAAAAACUUGAGGUUAAUUUUCUUCCCGUAUAUAUGAACACAACAGGCAUGGCUGCCAGCGUUGUAUGUGUGAACUUAUAAGUGGCUUUUCAUAACGGCGACACCGAAUGGAACAGCCUUUUACACAGGCAUAAAACCGUACUCCGGCUAUAUUACCUGAGUGCUAAAGUACACGUCACAGUCUUAAUAGCGCAAAAGAAAGUGAUGGCACCAUGCAGUAAAGCACCUCCAAUUAAGUGGCCACGACAUGCGACCAAGCAUAUACUGAGUAAGGAAUUACAUCGCAAUGGUUUGGACGGAAAUGAACUGUCGCACAACGUGAUUCUAGAAGUUUCGACAAGGUCAAAAAUGUAGUCGAGACGUUGUCUUCAGUUAAUUUCCUUCUUCGACCACUGCUAAUCAUUUCAAGCCUCGAUGUUCUGGUGAACUUCCCUUUUGUUUGAACGUGCCUACUGAGUCCCAUGUAAGCAUCCGGCUCGCAUAGUAGUAGCACGACGGAACUGUUAAACGCUUCGAGCUUUCGCGAGGGUUAUUGUGGCUAAAAGGCUCACAGUUUCUUGUUUGCGCUCCAAGUGCUGAAUUCUUAGUAUUCGUUCUGAAUAUCCACCAAUCGGCCCAACCAUUCUCAUUGAUGCUCACUAUAUUCCGACUGCGCCUAAUUAAGAGCCGUAAUUAAGGAGUUACGAAAUAGGAGGAGAAUAGAAGGAAAUACGUACGAGAGAAAAAUAAUAUUCAAGCUUGGUAUUCGCCACCUUCUUGCUGCGAUCUGUGUGAGACGUACUGUGCCUAAGAGUGCGGCUGCGAAAUUCUGCGCUCGACAGUUUCGCGGCAUAGACACCAUAGUCUUUCGCCGUUCCCACGUUUCUAUUUGACCUAAUACAGAUGUACACGAAAUACUAACUAGAAUUACUGCCACAACGGUAGCUUUUCACAUUUUUUGGGGAGCCGUAUACAGGAAGCAAAGUGCACCUUACCUUAAGUCUGCCAUCGUGGAAGAGAAUAUUUGCUGAUUUUUGUUUUUUCUCCACAAUUUCAGCCUUGUUGGCGUACGCUGGCCUAGGGCCCGUUUCGAACAUUGGUGUCGUUGGCGCUGUCGGACUUGGAGGCGGUGUCACCGGUGUGGGCUUAGGAAGUGGACUCAACCUUGCCGGCCCAGACGCCUCUGCUAGUGAAGGGUACCCUAACCUAGGCACGCCCGUUUCACCUAGGUCAGGGUUUCCAGGCAGUGUUCCUACCGUUCCGAGCCGGUUUCCUUCUAGCUCCGGAUCAUCUUCCUUUGGUAGUCCUGGAUUUUUCGGAUCUGGCACUGGAUCCACGGGAGGACCUGACUCAUUGGGUUCCUUGGGCGUUGGUUCAAUUGGAGGCGUUUAUGGUUCACCGAGCUCUGCACCCGUCUCAAGCCCCCAAUAUUACGGAUAUGGCGAUAUGAAUGGCUUCUACGGCAAUAACUUCGGAUACGGAAGUUAUGGCACUGGUUACGCUCCUUCUGGUGGCUAUGGCUCCGGCUAUGGCUCAGGCUUUGGUUACGGCUCCGGCUUCAGCUCUGGCGUCAACGGCUACGGAGGAAGCUUUGGAAAUAGGUUCGGUUCUAUUGGAGCCCCCUGGAGUGGUUAUUUAUCGUUCCCAGCUGGCGGAAACGUCUAUAGGCGGCGAGAUUUAGGCUUCCAUUCCGGCUCUACCGGUUUUGGUAGCAACCGUGACAGCUCUGGAUCCUUUGGAACAUCUGUGAGAGCGAGUGGAAGCUCGGCAACAAGAAGUGCUGGCUCGUCUUCUUCCUGAUCUAGCCACUAAUCAAUUGACGCUAUCAUGCCCAGCCAUCUUAAGAAAAUCAUUGCCUCUGCCGGUUCCUGCCUGGAUAUUUCAAUGAACAAGAAUGACUGUAGACACAUAAAGGAACACCUCGCUGCAAUCCCUUGCAACGACCUAACAAUAAUCAUCUUAUUUAAGUUUGUUAUUGAAAAUAUGCGUCCUCGUUUGUAAGAGUGUAGUGGACGGAGUCAGCGACCGCCAUGCUUUACCAAGAUAUUGCGGAGUAUCACUUAAUAUAUAUGUACUAGGGUGAACAUAGUGAAUUCGCGUUCACCCUAUUACCGAGUCUGACGACUCCUGUAGUAGUAGGCGCUUAGCAACUGUCCGAUUGAAUUCGUAUUCGUUAUGAUCUGAACCUUAUCUACACUGUUCUAGAUUUUGUACAAGUGACCUAGAAACUCCAGCUUUCGGAGAACUUCUGU
RNAcentral lists this long non-coding RNA (2337 nucleotides) under Dermacentor andersoni. Its description in RNAcentral is "uncharacterized LOC126521792". Lineage: Eukaryota; Metazoa; Arthropoda; Arachnida; Ixodida; Ixodidae. The record is from RNAcentral.